This is a long non-coding RNA of Toxotes jaculatrix (banded archerfish), 843 nucleotides long. RefSeq lists it as uncharacterized. The record is from RefSeq and is a predicted model, not a curated record. NCBI's taxonomy places the organism in Eukaryota, Metazoa, Chordata, Actinopteri, Toxotidae. The transcript has 3 exons.
CAGCCAGGUUGUGUGACCCCGUUCAUGGCGAACACGUCGGCAGACCGAGCUGUAAAAUUACUCACCUGUGUGGAAGAACGUGUUUAUUUGUUUGCAUUACUCACAUCUGUUGUCUUACCUGUGCCCCAGGAUCCAGUCAUUCGACCCCUCUGUCCGCUCUGUCCUUCGCCAUCAUUGGUUGGAGCUGGACCCACCUCCUCGCCAUCUCCUCCUUCUUCAGACCCAACAAAGAGCAACCUGACACGUCUGCCUGCCACCUCUCCAUCUAAGAUUAUUCGCAGAAUGAGUUGGUGUGGAAACUCUCCUGCUUCCUGCUCAGAGGCUCGACACUGAGGACGGUCAUCUUCCGGCUGAAGACGGAGCUUCGCCAUCAGUCAGAUAAAUCCUGUGUUGGAUCAGCUGACUGGACUGUGUGGUUCUGUUCUGGUCAUCAGGUAAAAGAAGAGGUUUUAAUAUUUAGAGUGUGUGUCUCAGGAACAACCAGGUGGACCAAUGACAACCCCAUGUUCAUUAUGCCCCGUGCAUGACUUCAUACAUCGUUGGAUUAAUGGAGACUGGUGCAGUUUAACCCGCCGACCAUCAGAUCACCGAUUCCUUUGUUUUUUUCCAAACUGGAAACUGGACCGUUAACACACACUGGAAGCAGGACGUGAACGAUGGGAGCUUCCAGCAUUAAUAAAACAUCCACCUGAGAACUGAUCUGCACAUUUUGGUCCUGAUAACUGUUCUGCAGUCAGGUCCUAAAGGAAGGGAUACCCAGGCGGGAUUCUGUCAACAAAGACUUAAAAUAUGCAAAACAGUGGAGCCCAAUCUGCAUACAGUUAAGUCUGGGAGCCCCAUCUA